GAUCUGGGCACUGUCUCAACGAGAGACUCGGUGAAAUUAUAGUACCUGUGAAGAUGCAGGUUACCCGCGACAGGACGGAAAGACCCCGUGGAGCUUUACUGCAGCCUGAUAUUGAAUGUUGGUACAGCUUGUACAGGAUAGGUAGGAGCCUUGGAAACCGGAGCGCUAGCUUCGGUGGAGGCAUCGGUGGGAUACUACCCUGGCUGUAUUGACC
Molecule: ribosomal RNA, 214 nt
Filed under: Bacillus pumilus
Lineage: Bacteria; Bacillati; Bacillota; Bacilli; Caryophanales; Bacillaceae
Description: partial 23S ribosomal RNA
Rfam family: Bacterial large subunit ribosomal RNA
Source: RNAcentral